This 463-nucleotide unclassified non-coding RNA is filed under the name Daphnia pulicaria. RNAcentral describes it as "protein fem-1 homolog C-like, transcript variant X2". Lineage: Eukaryota; Metazoa; Arthropoda; Branchiopoda; Diplostraca; Daphniidae. The record is from RNAcentral.
ACAACGGAAAAAUUGCAUGAAAAAAUAAAUAAUAAAUAAUUUGGCAACGUUUUAAAAUUCAAAUUCAGCCACCAGGGGGACUACAGUCAUCCAGAAAUAAGUUGAGCAUUAAAAAAAAAACCGUUAGAAAUGUUCUCGCACUCAUUCUGGACAGACGUCGACAAUACGUUCCAGAAUCUUAGUUGAAAUUUCGUAAAUUUUAAAAUUUUCCACCACAGAAUUGUUUUCUUCUUACAUAAACACGAAGAAUCCAGUUCAUCUUCCCCUAAGUUUUGAAGACUGCUUCCAAUUGAUAUUCCUCGCAGAACUCUGGGAUUUGUUUCUACUAAAGAUUAACUUUCUUCCAACACCAACACGAAGAAUCGAAUUCAUUUCCCACCGUGUUUGAAGCCUGCUUCUAAUUUUUCUUCAUUGAACUGGGAUUUAUUUUAUUUAUUCAUCAAAUCAGCAGAACAGCAUUACA